AGAGAAAAUGUGCAUAUUUUCUAAAGGUCUCUUGAUCAAAACCUCUGCCCCCAUCGUUGUGAACCUCACACAUAGCUCUAGCUUUUCUUUCUGAACUCAUUAGGAACUCGCCUUUCAUCUCAUAAUAAUCUUGUCCGUCUAUGACAAACAAAGUGUUUUUUGUUUUAAAUUCAUGAAUUCUUUUAGAUUACUGGGUAUGAAUCGAACUCUGAAUGUGCUACAGCCACGAAACCACUCUAUCGCGCGAGGGCUGCAGGAGCUUCUGAAGCGCGCAGAAAGUGGAGCACGGAGAACACAACGCACGCAUGCUCAUCUAUGAUGUUGCUCAGAUUAUUGCAAUCGAUUUUCAUUACUGAACUCGGAGACAAACACACUUCACAAGAUAUGCCUACUCUAUUUCUCCGGAGCUAAAAUCCUGUCAUGAGCAGUAGUUUACACAUUUUCGAAAUAGAGACGCAUAAAUAGGACACAACGUGAGGAAGACUAGGCAGCCAAACCAACCGUGAGUGAGACAACAUUUGGUCACAAUUUGAAAAUUCAAACAUUCGAACUCGAAAAGGGGGCAGGGUACGUUUUCUGAACCCGUCCAAAACGAUGGAGUUACAUAACUUCAGAAAACAACGCCAGUUUGUGGGCAAGGCAAGCCCACUAGAUGCUAAUCAACCAAGGGGCACACACACCCCUCUAUCGUCAACGCCCCCUCCACAAUCUCCCUCCCGGAUAGGUCCAGGCAGAGAUGGAAAAAACAACAACAAGGGCUUUAAAAACAUCCACAUUGUUCCGUCCAUCAGUAACAUCUGGUCAUCCAACCGGGGUACUGUGGCUACAUUCUCCUGUUUUCCGGCGCAUUUUUUAUUCUCCUCCAUCUCCGGGGAGGACAGAAAUCAAAGUUUAUAGUUCUUUCUUGCGUGAACCCAAAACGCGAACAUGCCCAGCAAGAGGAAGAAGAACAAGCGCCGCAUGAGAAGGGUGGCCAUACUCAUUCCUGAGGCCCCUGUGUCAGCUCUUGCUGAAUUUAAGGUCCAGGUCGAAAACUACGUAGUCAUUACCACAGAGAUCGCACAGACUCAUGACGAGCCGUGGCUCGAGGCUGAAGUGGAGGCUGAAAUAGUUGACGAGGUCCAAGCGAAAGUAGAGGCAGUAGUUGAGGAAGAACCAGAGCCCGAUCCCGUGGUCAAGGCCGAAGCUGCCCCAGUUGUAGAAGCUGAACUUGAAGAGUCGGGAAUCAAAGACGGAGACAAUCCUAUCGUCAAAGCUGAAGCCAUUCCUGAAGAUAUUGAUGCAGAAAAGCAUGAGACUGUUAUGACAGAGGCACCUGAAGAGGUUCCAGUGGUGCCCGCAGUCCCAACGGAUUCACUUGACGCCCUAUCGGAGUUGCUGAACGACAUCACUCUAGUCACUGAGCCCGCCCCUGUCACAGCUGAUAAAGUCAUUGACGAGCCAGAGUGUGAGGAGAAAGAGGUGAGAGACGACGUACUUCCACCCGAUUACCGGCCCUGCUCGGAGGACCUGCUGGCUAAAGAGGAAAUUGAAGCCCAGAUGGAAAUCGAGGCUAAAAAGGAUGCCAUAGAUGAGAAGACAGUCCUUCACGUCAUCUCUGGAGAUUUAUCUGCCCCCGACCCUGUCAUCUCAGAACUGCAGUGUCACACGCAGCUCGCCGCCCCCAAGGAUAUCCCAGCAGAGGCAGUGCUAAAUGGACAGAUGGCAGCUGAGGUGGCCAUUGAGGGAUAGAUCUCUAUGGAUUUCCUUAGUCAGUAUGAAGGACUGAAGAGAGCCUGACGGUGAGCCGACCAGCGAACUUUACUUUUCAUUUUUUAGGGCUUAAAGGGACCGCUGGGAAAUUUGACAGACAUCCAACAAUCAGUGCCUUUCUUGCUUGGGUUCUUACAAAAAAAAUAUUAAACAAGUUUAAAAUGCGAUAUGAAGGUGGGGGAAUAAGACUCUUUUUUUAAAAACCAGAAUGUGAGAAUUUGGAAUAAACAAAUGAUGGCUUUCAUAGAUUUCUGUAUCCCAUUGCAUGUAUUGUAGAUUUGCAUCAAUUGUAAAUGGCAUGCAUUGUGUAUGAAUACUGUAGAAUUGAUGAAUGUGGCAAUGGCUUGUCUUCACAUUUGGACCAUGUUUGUAUGGAUGAGAGGGAUUAAUUCCUUGUACAUGUUUCCUGUUUUAACCUGGUUUGACUCCUUUUUGCGAAGGGACAGUAUCGCAGUUUGUACAGUACCAUAGCUACCCCCUCUUCUCCCUAUCACCAUUGUGGUACUUUUGUUUUUUCAGGGACUGUAUGAUGACAGCUCCACCCUCUUUAUUGUGUAGUGUCAGUGUGUCUACAGUCCCAAGUCUGUCCUGGGCAAUGUGAAAUGGUGUGUAGUUUUAGGUCCUCUGACCAGAUGCUCUUAACAUUUAAUUACCUACGCUGCCAACUGAAAACAGAGUACGGGGCCUGUAGAUCCUGUUUUUCUAAUUCUGUUUUGUAUAGACCAUAUGAUGUGGUACAACCGCUGUUUGUGUUCAGUUACGUGCUUUGGAAGAGACCAUGGAGUUGUCAUGUAAUUGAGGAGCUGGGUUGGAUUUCAUUCACCUUUUUGAAUAAAGAUGUUACUCACCAAGUCCUUGAUUCAGUUGUUGGCCUGUGUUCUACAUUCCUUAG
Molecule: long non-coding RNA, 2644 nt
Filed under: Salmo trutta (river trout)
Lineage: Eukaryota; Metazoa; Chordata; Actinopteri; Salmoniformes; Salmonidae
Description: lncRNA (ENSSTUG00000019288.1)
Source: RNAcentral